Molecule: transfer RNA, 87 nt
Filed under: Tannerella sp.
Lineage: Bacteria; Pseudomonadati; Bacteroidota; Bacteroidia; Bacteroidales; Tannerellaceae
Description: tRNA-Leu
Rfam family: tRNA
About the family: Transfer RNA (tRNA) molecules are approximately 80 nucleotides in length. Their secondary structure includes four short double-helical elements and three loops (D, anti-codon, and T loops).
Source: RNAcentral
GCCCAGAUGGCGGAAUCGGUAGACGCGCUGGUCUCAAACACCAGUGUCAGCAAUGACAUGCCGGUUCGAUCCCGGCUCUGGGUACCA